Molecule: ribosomal RNA, 165 nt
Filed under: uncultured bacterium
Lineage: Bacteria
Description: partial 16S rRNA
Rfam family: Bacterial small subunit ribosomal RNA
Source: RNAcentral
UAGGGAAUCUUCGGCAAUGGACGUAAGUCUGACCGAGCAACGCCGCGUGAGUGAAGAAGGUUUUCGGAUCGUAAAACUCUGUUGGUAGAGAAGAACGUUGGUGAGAGUGGAAAGCUCAUCAAGUGACGGUAACUACCCAGAAAGGGACGGCUAACUACGUGCCAC